AUUCGCUAGUUCUUCUAGUCUACUUCCAUUGAACGGGUCAACAUCAGUUUUGUCCGGUGGAUAAAGAUAGUAGGAAUGUAGCUCCCCCGGGAGUGUUAUAGACUAUUAUUGCAUACACUGGGUGAGACUGAGGACUGCAGCUCGCCUUUUGGCCGGUCUUCGGACACGUUCGAGCUUAGGAUGUUGACAUAAUGGCUUUAAACGACCCGUCUUGAAACACGGACCAAGGAGUCA
RNAcentral lists this ribosomal RNA (234 nucleotides) under uncultured fungus. Its description in RNAcentral is "partial 28S ribosomal RNA". The record is from RNAcentral. Lineage: Eukaryota; Fungi.